This is a long non-coding RNA of Bubalus bubalis (water buffalo), 1636 nucleotides long. RefSeq lists it as uncharacterized. The record is from RefSeq and is a predicted model, not a curated record. The transcript is spliced from 2 exons. NCBI's taxonomy places the organism in Eukaryota, Metazoa, Chordata, Mammalia, Artiodactyla, Bovidae.
AUCCUGGCAUGGGAAAAGGAUUGAGCAGCAGCCGGAGGCCCUUCCAUCAGUCUGCUGCAGCAGAAGGGUGGAGGCGGGCAGCCCCACGGCAUCCCUGGGUUCAGGAAGCAUGGGGACCAGGUGGCAGGGGAAUCCUUAGUCCCCACUGAGCAAGCUGGCCAAGCUUAGAGAGGCUGGCAGUCACAGGGAAAGUGGGUUUCCAGCCCGAGGAGUUCUUUGUGAACUCAGGCCUACGGUACUGUGACCAAUGCUUUACAGAAUUUGUGUGGUAGGGAGGAGGAAGAGAAAACUCAGUGGUUGUGAAGAGCUGGCUUCUCUCCCAGGAAACUUCUGCCCUGGCCCUACCCUCCAAGGAAACUGGAAAACCUCCAAGAUUCUGUUUUUUUCACACCUCCAUGGCUCAAGAAAUGAAGUGGCAGAUGCGGGGCCUGAGCAAAUGAGGACGUAGGGCGAAGGAGCCCUGAGGCCCCAGUGGUGGUGGGGGGAGAUGGGAGGAGCACUUUAGGGAUCACCCCCGCAGGCAGGCGCCCCAGGGGGCCAAUGUCUCACCUUGAUGCAAGAUGCCCGGGUCUGAGAAGUUGAGUGAAAUGAGACUGAAGAAGGUGAGGAUAAAGAGCAGGCCUGUGAUGAUGGGAAAGGCCCAUUCCCCAUUCUGGGCCAGCCACCUGCAACUGAGACAAGAGCAGGACUCAGCCCUGAAGCUCCAGUUCAUCUAGUCAGCACCCACAGACCAUAAACCCUGCUCUAAAUAUCCAGGCUUGUGACAGAUCCAUAGAGACUCCACCAGUCACCCUGUAUUACCAACCACCUGCGGCUCCCAAAUGCACCAAGCCCUCUAUACCUCUAAUAGCAUUCAGUUCCCUUUGCCUGGAAUAUCCGGCCCUCCUGACCCCUCUUCUGCACUCCCCCUGCCUCCGUACUAUCAUUAUCUGCUUUCCUUUCUGUUGCUCUGUAAGAAACCUGAUAGCUUGUGUGGGAGACUUACGGAAAUGCGAAGAAGAGGCCACUGAAAAUGACCAGCAGCACCACGUUGAAGGCGGCAAAUAAGCUUGGGAGGACCCAGGGGAGCGGGGCCUGAGGUGGGGGGUGGGGCUCCUUCAAGAGCGGCAUGGCUGGACCUCCCGUGUCCCCAGAGGAGAUGAGAGUCACCAGGCUCCCUUCCCACUGCUGUGUCCGGGAGCCCCAUGGCCACAGCAGCCUUGGAAGCCACAGCCCAGUGUAGAAGGAAAGGAGUCCCAGUGUGACAUCACAGAGGCUGAGGAGAAUGGGGCUAGCGGCUCUCCAGCACCAACUGUCUGUAGCCAGUGACCAUCACCCCUGACAACAAACAACAUCCCUGCUUGUGCUGCGGACCGAGGGGUCCUCUCCCUGCCAGAUUGGCUCAAGACCAGGGACAGCUUGCAUCCAAGGAGUGGUCCAACAUGAGGAUAUAAAGGUCCAGAUGCUUUUCCAAUGGAAGACAAUUCUGAGAAGCCAUCCUAGCCCCCAUGUGACCUUGGAGGAGGCUGAGGCCCUUACCUCAGAUCAACAUCUCCCCCUGCUCAGCCUUGCUUCCUUCCCUUCCUUCUUUCCCUCUCCUUUCACAGGUGUUGGUCCCCAAAUCAUUCCCUAAUAAACAACGUAUGUCUAAUCUCUA